Molecule: ribosomal RNA, 1367 nt
Filed under: Escherichia coli
Lineage: Bacteria; Pseudomonadati; Pseudomonadota; Gammaproteobacteria; Enterobacterales; Enterobacteriaceae
Description: partial 23S ribosomal RNA
Rfam family: Bacterial large subunit ribosomal RNA
Source: RNAcentral
UGUGAGCUCGAUGAGUAGGGCGGGACACGUGGUAUCCUGUCUGAAUAUGGGGGGACCAUCCUCCAAGGCUAAAUACUCCUGACUGACCGAUAGUGAACCAGUACCGUGAGGGAAAGGCGAAAAGAACCCCGGCGAGGGGAGUGAAAAAGAACCUGAAACCGUGUACGUACAAGCAGUGGGAGCACGCUUAGGCGUGUGACUGCGUACCUUUUGUAUAAUGGGUCAGCGACUUAUAUUCUGUAGCAAGGUUAACCGAAUAGGGGAGCCGAAGGGAAACCGAGUCUUAACUGGGCGUUAAGUUGCAGGGUAUAGACCCGAAACCCGGUGAUCUAGCCAUGGGCAGGUUGAAGGUUGGGUAACACUAACUGGAGGACCGAACCGACUAAUGUUGAAAAAUUAGCGGAUGACUUGUGGCUGGGGGUGAAAGGCCAAUCAAACCGGGAGAUAGCUGGUUCUCCCCGAAAGCUAUUUAGGUAGCGCCUCGUGAAUUCAUCUCCGGGGGUAGAGCACUGUUUCGGCAAGGGGGUCAUCCCGACUUACCAACCCGAUGCAAACUGCGAAUACCGGAGAAUGUUAUCACGGGAGACACACGGCGGGUGCUAACGUCCGUCGUGAAGAGGGAAACAACCCAGACCGCCAGCUAAGGUCCCAAAGUCAUGGUUAAGUGGGAAACGAUGUGGGAAGGCCCAGACAGCCAGGAUGUUGGCUUAGAAGCAGCCAUCAUUUAAAGAAAGCGUAAUAGCUCACUGGUCGAGUCGGCCUGCGCGGAAGAUGUAACGGGGCUAAACCAUGCACCGAAGCUGCGGCAGCGACGCUGAUGCGUUGUUGGGUAGGGGAGCGUUCUGUAAGCCUGCGAAGGUGUGCUGUGAGGCAUGCUGGAGGUAUCAGAAGUGCGAAUGCUGACAUAAGUAACGAUAAAGCGGGUGAAAAGCCCGCUCGCCGGAAGACCAAGGGUUCCUGUCCAACGUUAAUCGGGGCAGGGUGAGUCGACCCCUAAGGCGAGGCCGAAAGGCGUAGUCGAUGGGAAACAGGUUAAUAUUCCUGUACUUGGUGUUACUGCGAAGGGGGGACGGAGAAGGCUAUGUUGGCCGGGCGACGGUUGUCCCGGUUUAAGCGUGUAGGCUGGUUUUCCAGGCAAAUCCGGAAAAUCAAGGCUGAGGCGUGAUGACGAGGCACUACGGUGCUGAAGCAACAAAUGCCCUGCUUCCAGGAAAAGCCUCUAAGCAUCAGGUAACAUCAAAUCGUACCCCAAACCGACACAGGUGGUCAGGUAGAGAAUACCAAGGCGCUUGAGAGAACUCGGGUGAAGGAACUAGGCAAAAUGGUGCCGUAACUUCGGGAGAAGGCACGCUGAUAUGUAGGUGAAG